Vanessa atalanta (red admiral) is the source of this 350-nucleotide long non-coding RNA. RefSeq lists it as uncharacterized. Lineage: Eukaryota; Metazoa; Arthropoda; Insecta; Lepidoptera; Nymphalidae. The record is from RefSeq and is a predicted model, not a curated record. The transcript is spliced from 3 exons.
ACACAUAUUAUUCAAUAUCUUGGCACGUUUACCCGUUUAUUGAAUAAAGCCGAACAAGUGCGUAGUUCAACGGCUCACCUAAAAAGGCUUCCGUGUUUAGCUUAUCCACACUGUUAGUCUGUAACCCUUCUUGCAGAUUCGGCUGAGCGACGGCGGGCGGCAGCGUACACCGCCAGCUUGGAAGGUGAGGGGAGACUCGAGUCGCGCGGCCGUACCAGCGACUCACGGGACUCCGCCGCUGGCAGGGACGCCGACGUAGGCACGGAAGGCAACUUCCGGACCGUGUCAUACGAGGGCUUACGCGGAGGGCGCGGCAGGGCGGAGGGCGGUGGCGGCAGACUAGAGGAGCG